Non-coding RNA from Cyprinus carpio (common carp), 84 nucleotides. The record is from the annotation of a RefSeq genome assembly. NCBI's taxonomy places the organism in Eukaryota, Metazoa, Chordata, Actinopteri, Cypriniformes, Cyprinidae.
GACGAGGUGGCAGAAAGUGGUUAAGGCGAUGGACUGCUAAUCCAUUGUGCUCUGCACGCGUGAGUUCGAAUCCCAUCCUCGUCG